GCGGCUUAGCACUAUCCCCUCGGUGAAGACUGAGUUUUCAGUUCAUGCGAGAUCUGAUUGUUUAAAAGAGUGCAGCACUUCCUCCACCUUGCUCCCUCUCUUGCCACUGAUGUGCCUGCUUCCCCUUCACCUUCUGCCUGGAUUGUAAGCUCCCUGAGAACCUCACCAGAAGCAGAUGCCAGCACCACGCUUCCUAUACAGCCUGCCAAAAUCUCCUGAAUUUCACAGACAAAUCCAGACCCCUGUGUGGAAAGCCUGCGGUGGUGUUCUCCGUCUUCCCACAGGACUCCCUGCAGCCAGGAAUUCUAGGGGAGCACCUGACGCGAGGUAUACGCCCAGAUGGCCUGAAGUAACUGAAGAAUCACAAAAGAAGUGAAAAUGUCCUGCCCCGCCUUAACUGAUGACAUUCCACCACAAAGGAAGUGUCAAUGGCUGGUCCUUGCCUUAACUGAUGACAUUCCACCGCAAAAGAAGUGAAAAUGGCCGGUCCUUGCCUUAACUGAUGACAUUACACCACAAAAGAAGUGAAAAUGGCCGGUCCUUGCCUUAAGUGAUGGCAUUACCUUGUGAAAGUCCUUUUCCUGGCUCAUUCUGGCUCAAAAUCACCCCCACUGAGCACCUUGUGACCCCCACUCCUGCCCGCCAGGGAACAAUCCCCCUUUGACUGUAAUUUUCCUUUACCUACCCAAAUCUUAUAAAAUGGCCCCACCCCUAUCUCCCUUUGCUGACUCUCUUUUUGGACUCAGCCUGCCUGCAUCCAGGUGAUUAAAAGCUUUUAUUGCUCACACAAAGCCUGUUUGGUGGUCUUUUCAUACGGAUGUGCGUGAAAACCACAAUAUUCCUG
RNAcentral lists this long non-coding RNA (844 nucleotides) under Homo sapiens (human). Its description in RNAcentral is "HSALNT0299461". The record is from RNAcentral. Lineage: Eukaryota; Metazoa; Chordata; Mammalia; Primates; Hominidae.